Molecule: ribosomal RNA, 305 nt
Filed under: uncultured bacterium
Lineage: Bacteria
Description: bacterial SSU rRNA
Rfam family: Bacterial small subunit ribosomal RNA
Source: RNAcentral
GGUGCCUCGGGACGCAGCAGUGGGGAAUAUUGGGCAAUGGACGCAAGUCUGACCCAGCAACGCCGCGUGAAGGAAGAAGGCUUUCGGGUUGUAAACUUCUUUUAAGGGGGAAGAGCAGAAGACGGUACCCCUUGAAUAAGCCACGGCUAACUACGUGCCAGCAGCCGCGGUAAUACGUAGGUGGCAAGCGUUGUCCGGAUUUACUGGGUGUAAAGGGCGUGCAGCCGGAGAGGCAAGUCAGAUGUGAAAUCCGCGGUCUCAACUCGCGAACUGCAUUUGAAACUGCUUCCCUUGAGUAUCGGUGG